AUGUCGCUGCAGGAUGGCGACGGCGGCACGCUAGACCUGCCGCAUUUGGUGCAAUCCGUGGUAUGCGCGGAGUGGACGGCCGAGGUGAUUGGCGUGGAGCUGGUGCGACCAGGCGUCGCGCCGUGGCGGAGGGAAGGAGGAGAAGGAGAGAUGUUAGGGACGGCCAGUGUGGUUGCUCCGGUGAUGGCGUCCUGCGGGGGGCUUAGAAGCAACGGCUGCCAUUGA
Molecule: ribosomal RNA, 225 nt
Filed under: Triticum aestivum (bread wheat)
Lineage: Eukaryota; Viridiplantae; Streptophyta; Magnoliopsida; Poales; Poaceae
Description: partial small subunit ribosomal RNA
Source: RNAcentral